AUGAGCGGCGGCGGCGGCGGCGCGGGGGGCGGAGGGAAGGGGGCCGCGGCCGCGGGGCCCGUCCCGCAGGCCUCGAGGAAGCUCGUGCAGAGCCUCAAGGAGAUCGUCAACCGCCCGGACGCCGAGAUCUACGCCGCGCUGCGCGAGUGCUCCAUGGACCCCGACGAGGCCGUCAGCCGCCUCCUCUCCCAAGAUACCUUUCAAGAGGUAAAGAGCAAGCGUGACAAGAAAAAAGAGGUUAAAGAGACUCCCGAGCCAAGGUCUCGAGCGGCAAAUAAUGCUACCAGUCGAGGUGUAAGAGGUGGUCCAGAUCGAGGUGGGCGAAACAAUUCUGCUUACAACAGCUCCAUUGAUAACAUGACCUCAAGGUCAUCCGUCUCAGGAUCUGGUAUGCAAUCAACCAAUUCCACCCAGAAGCAAACAGUUCAAAGUUCCUCCGUGAACAAAAAUCUGGUUGUUGAUGCACCAUCGGUACCACCACAAACAUCAUCUGGGUUUCAGCAUGGCUGGUCUGGGACGCCAGGUCAGUUGUCAAUGGCUGAUAUUGUGAAAAUGGGUGGCAGGCCACAGGCUCAGGGGAAGCCUUCUACCAAGACUGUGGUCACAGCGGACAAAGGAUAUGCCGGACAAUACCCAUCUUUGCCCACCACUGUAAACCAGAAUGCAAAACAAUCUGCGAGCACAGUUGCACCAACAGAGCUUGACCAAGGGUUACCUUCUGCGCAAGAUUCUGUUCUGGUUAAGGACCACAGUCACACAGCUGCUGAUAACAAGCAGAAAUAUGAUAAUGAUUGGUCUCCACAAGAUGACCCGCCAGCAGGGAAUCAAUCCUCCCUCCCUGAGACAUCUGGGGACCCAUCAUUAUUUGAGGCACCAUUACAUCCAUCGACGCAUGUUGCUGAUGCGGUUUACUUGCAUGAAAAUUCUUAUUUGGAUGAUAACAUCUCUGCUGCAAUGAGAUCAGGAAAUGCUUCUGAGAGACACUUGGAUCACUAUGGAGGGAAUUCUGAAUAUAAUGAUGGAUUAUUGCAGAACUCGAGUACCUAUCUGGCUCAGACGCAUUCUCACAUAGAGGACCAAGCUGAGGAGUCCAAUGCUGAUGUAUCAGCAGCAGCAAACUUCCAGGGUCUGAGCCUACAUGAUGAAGAGCUAGCUGCCACAAAGUUUGCCGAAGAUAACCCAGCAGUUAUAAUUCCGGACCAUCUGCAAGUUGCCAACACAGGCUGUGCCGGAUUGAGCUUUGGCAGUUUCGGAUCUGGUGCAUUUUCUGGGCUCCUCCCACCGCCAAAGAGCACUGAAAACAAUGUGGAGUUGCCUAUUGUGGAGGAAUCUGAACCUAUAGAUCAUACAGAUACGAGGGAUCAAGAUUUCUACGAAAUUCCUCCGAAUUCGCCACCAAACGAGAACCUUGAGGAAAUUAUGGGAGCUAGCACUGAGAAUCUUGAUGUACCUUCUGUUCAACAGCCUGAUGUCCUGAGACAAGAAAUACUGGAUGAUCCUUCAGGUGUUCAAUAUAAUCUGCCAUCAGUCUCGAGCCACGCGUAUGCGAACCCAGCACAGCCAAAUGCAAUGGAUGCCAUGCAAGGAAGUAACCAAGCGCACACUCUUUCACACCUGUCAAGCUUGCUGCAAUCAAAUACGUUACAACAACACAACCUGUUGGGCUCUAAUAUGGCACCUCUUCGGGACUUGGACUUCGGUUUAUCACCUUUGUUGGCAGCACAAGCACAAUCAAUGGGAGCAAGAUAUAACUCAGCUGCACCAACUACUACUGGCAUGCAGGAGCCAAUGAAGCCAGGAGUUUUCUCGAACACUCAAUCCACACAAAAUCUUCCGAGUACCAGCAUUCAGAUGGCCCCCUCUCUUCCUCAGCAAUUAGUCCAUCCUUACUCACAGCCCACUUUACCUAUUGCACCUUUCGCAAAUAUGAUUGGCGCAAAUAUGAUUGGCUAUAAUCCAUACUUGGCACAAAACUACCCUGCUUACCUACCAUCAACAGCCUUCCAGCAAGCGUACUCGAGUAAUGGACAGUUCCAUCAGUCUGCCGCUGCUGUACCUGGAGCUGGCAUGAAGUACUCGAUGCCACAAUACAAGAACAACAUGUCAGCCGCAAACUUACAACAACAACAACAACCUUCGUCGGUUAUAUCUGGUUAUGCAGGCUUUGGUAGCUCAAGUAACCUUCCAGGAAAUUUUGCCCUCAACCAGAAUGCUGCCCCUCCGUCGGCUAAUCUUGGGUUUGAUGAAGCAUUGAGCGCUCAGUACAAAGAGGCCAAUCAAUACAUGGCUCUCCAGCAGCAGGGCGACAACUCUGCGAUGUGGCUUCAUGGGGCUGGUUCAAGAACCGCGUCAGCAAUUCCUCCUACCCAGUUCUAUGGCUACCAGGGACAGAGCCAGCAGCAGGGCGCCUUCCGGCAGGCGCAGCAGCCCCAGCAGCCUUCUCAAUACGGGGGCCAUGGAUACCCGGCGUUCUACCAUUCCCAGGGCGGCGGCAUGGCGCAGGAGCACCACCCCCAGAACCCGGCCGACGGAGCCCUGAAUGGCUACCAGGCGGCGCAGCAGCAGCAGCAGCAGCAGCAGCAGCCAUCUCACCAGAGCUGGCAGCAGCACGCCAACUACUGA
RNAcentral lists this ribosomal RNA (2622 nucleotides) under Triticum aestivum (bread wheat). RNAcentral's name for it is "partial small subunit ribosomal RNA". The record is from RNAcentral. Lineage: Eukaryota; Viridiplantae; Streptophyta; Magnoliopsida; Poales; Poaceae.